This 1167-nucleotide long non-coding RNA is filed under the name Podarcis muralis (Common wall lizard). RNAcentral's name for it is "lncRNA (ENSPMRG00000021761.1)". Lineage: Eukaryota; Metazoa; Chordata; Lepidosauria; Squamata; Lacertidae. The record is from RNAcentral.
AUGGCAGACCAACACGGCUUCCUAUCUGUAACUGAUAAUAAUAAACUCUCCCAUUUUACCCUCUCCUUGGAGAUUUGCGAGGAGAGCUUCGAGGGUCGUCGUCGUCGUCGUCGUCGUCGUCGUUGUUGUUGUUGUUGUUAUUAUUAUUAUUAUUAUUAUUAUUAUUAUUAUUAUUAUUAUUAUUAUUAUUCUUUAUUUCUUUAUACCCCGCCUAUCUGGGGUAUCUCGAACUCUACUUCGGGGACUUCAGGGCGACCUCCCCGGCGCACCCAACCCUGCCGAGAGACCACCACAACCACCAAGUCCUGCCUGCCUUGCCCCUGGGUGGCGCGCGCGGCGGUGGCGCUGGUGGCUCCCCCGGGUCCUCCCCUUGGGCCGCCCUCUCCCAGCGAGCAGGGGGCAGCGCCACCGAGAUCUGGCUGGAUGCCACAGAGGGACAGCUGUUGGCAGCUCGGGCGAAGGCUUGGUGGUGGGGUGGGGGGCAAGGAGGAGGUAGCUCCCGAAUCACGGAGACAGCGGGUUGGCUGGUUGGAGGGGCGUGGAAAGCGGGCACGCCUCGGCAGAGUUGGCCGCGCCCAGGAGAUCGCUGGGUUCUUCUGGCUCAGAGGAGACCUCUCCUGCUCAGGAGCAGCUGCUGGACUGCUUGGACAAGUGGAAGAGCUUGGUGGUGGACAUCUCGGCAGGGUUGGUGGUGGCCAAGUCUUCAGGAACCCUCCGAGAUAUACUGGUUGGCUCCUUGCGGCCCGGCGCGCACAGCUGGGAGCAGCGGGACCAGUUCUCCUGGACCACUGCUAUCUCUACUGGUGGUUCCUCACCAGUUCCCCACCUCUCCUGAGUCCUGCCCAGCGCCAUGUCGACCUCCUCCGAGGAGGAGUGGAGCCUGGACCCCUUGGCCAGCCCCGAGGACAGCCCGCGGCGGGGCUACCAGCGCGGCCCCAGGGGCAACCUCACCAUGACCACCACCAACCAAGCCUUGGUGCAGCUGGUCUGCCAGAAAAACCUCCACCAGCCCGCCGACACGACCCUCCUCUCCAUCCUGCUGUUCUUCCGCAGGUGGGUGCUGUUAGGGAGGGGGGGGGCGUUAGGUUCCACCCUAGACCAGGGCCACCUGUCCUCCUGGGUGCUGGAGCUGAGAGACGUGGCUUGGGGCUGGAUGACCACCACUGA